UAGGGAAUCUUCCACAAUGGACGCAAGUCUGAUGGAGCAACGCCGCGUGAGUGAAGAAGGUUUUCGGAUCGUAAAGCUCUGUUGUUGGGGAAGAAGGAUAGAGGCAGUAACUGGUCUUUAUUUGACGGUAAUCAACCAGAAAGUCACGGCUAACUACGUGCCAGCAGCCGCGGUAAUACGUAGGUGGCAAGGGGUGUCCGGAUUUAUUGGGCGUAAAGCGAGCGCAGGCGGAAUGGUAAGUCUGAUGUGAAAGCCCACGGCUGAACCGUGGAGCUGCAUCGGAAACUGUGAUUCUUGAGGGCGGAAGAGGAGAGUGGAAUUCCAUGUGGAGCGGUGGAAUGCGUAGAUAUAUGGAAGAACACCAGUGGCGAAGGCGGCUCUCUGGUCUGCAACUGACGCUGAGGCUCGAAAGCAUGGGUAGCGAACAGG
Molecule: ribosomal RNA, 429 nt
Filed under: Bacillota bacterium
Lineage: Bacteria; Bacillati; Bacillota
Description: Firmicutes bacterium partial 16S ribosomal RNA
Rfam family: Bacterial small subunit ribosomal RNA
Source: RNAcentral